CGGAGAAGCUGGGCGUUCCUCCCGACCCGUCCCUCGGAGCCCCCUGGAAGAGUUGGGUUGUGAGCGCUCUGGGAGGGCGGCGUGGCCGAAGUAAGUUGCUUUGCAAGCCUCCAAAAGUGUUCCGGAUUAAACAAACCACGGUGAGAGUUUCUUCUGGUUUAGGAGGAGAUUGGCAUAGUUCAGAGGGUGCCUCCUGGGGCCCAGGGCUGUUGACUGGGCGGGAGGAGCCCCCUCUGCCCCGUGGGCCUCUGGCUGGCUGCUGGGCGAAUCGGCCGCGGGACGCCGGGCCUUUGGGCUCCUUCGCUGCUCUGCCAAAUAAUGCGGCCUCUUGCAUUUUGCGCAGUGAUCCUUGUGUGAAAGGGAAAGGAUUCUUACCAGCAUUCAAACAAAAACUGUUAAAAAGUUUAGACUUCACAUUUUCCCAUAAUGAAUUGAUGCAAAAUCAGGUGGGUGUGGAACAGCAAUUGCUUGGGCAAGUUUUAUUUGUAGCCUAAAACAGCUAUUAUUACAAAAUAUCAACAUACAUUGGCAAAAUGAUAUACACUUAAAAGAUAACUUUUUGUACUUUUGAGAAGCGUUGAAUGCUGUUUGCUAUAUUUUGACUGUAGAUACAAGGGUCAGUUCACACAUAGCUGAAGCCUUCGUUUGCUGAACAAGCCUUGUGGCCUGAUUCACACAUUGCACUGAGCCAUUAACCAUGGCUUACAAAUCACAGUGGCUGAGGCUAACCUUAAACCGAACAAACAUCAUGGUGGUUUAGUGCAGAUGUUCGAAAGCAGCUAUAUCUUUGCUCUGUGCAAGACAGAAUGAUUCGAGGGAGGGAGGGUGAUUGGGGCACUUUUGCUGAUCUGCAUUUCCUUCCAGCUUCCUUGAUGCCACCUAUCUCUGCAAUUUGCUUCUCACUGGUGGCACCUUCACCUGAUGGCCCGAGAGGUUCAUUCUGCUGGAGUUUUUGGGAAGGACACUCAUUUGGGGGAAACUGCAGCAAAGGACAGCUUUGUAUUCUGUGUAGUAACUUACUCUCUCUUUACUCACAGACAUUGAAUCCAAAGUGGAAUGAAGAAUUUGCAUUUCGGGUAAAUGGCUUUGUGGUACAGUAUAUUGAUGUAUCAGAUUAAACAAAGUAAUCUGACAUAGGGUAAGACACACUGUUUUAAGUUAAUGAUGAUGAUGAUAAUAACUUAAUAAAUUUAUAUGCUGCCCAACUCCCAGUGAGUCCAGUCUAGCAUAGGGGUGGAAUCAUUUUGCAACCCUGAGGGCUGGGGCCAAAAAACCGUCCCCUUUUUGCAUUGCACUUUCUGGAAUGGAGUGAAGGACAAGGGCAAAAUAAAUGCUUUAAAUCUUUCAGAAAUUUCAGAUAUCCAUUUCAUCCCUUAAAACUCUGUAAGAUGUGCCACCACCCCCCCACCCUCACCCCCAUGGUUUCUAACCCAUCCGCUUUUGGAAAAAGAUCCUUGACAUCCUGCAUAAAGCCUGGUGCUGCCCUCAGAUGGAUGGAAAUUGCACAUUCCCUGUCUGGUGCAAAACACAUUUUUACUAGUUAAUUCUGCUUUUCUUCAAAACAAAGUAACUAGAUUGUACCGUUUGUUUUAGAUUAUUCCUGAGAAGCAUUGGCUUCUCUUUGAAGUAUUUGAUGAAAACUGCCUGAGAAUCCGACUACCGAGAGGCCAUACACCUUGAAGGACUUCACCUUCAUCCAAGAAAGCCUGGAAGGAUUAUCUUGGACCAGCCAGAUGCAACCUGCCAACUGCAGGAGCAAGAGUCUUCUCUGUCUCAAGGCUGGGAAGAAAGACAGGAUGUCCUGGGCAGGACCUACUGUGUCCACCAUGAAGUCAGAAGGUCCCAGUGGAAAAGGGCAACCCCACAAGAUUGUGAACCAGAUGUUGAAGGAGGCUGUGUUCACCUGGAGGUUCAGCAUGCUUCGGCCCAUCAACAUGAAAUAAUGGAGGACGCUGAGAGUUUUGACAGCAGAGACUCUCCUGAGGUGAGAAUCACACAUCAUGGAGCUAGUUGCUGCAUCAAAGGCGCUCAGCCCUGGCAUCCUCAUGCGGCUUUCCCGUUUCUGUGCAAAGGGUUGGGAGAUUAUCGCAGAAGAUGAAGUGACCAUGCAUAGCAUGCUGUGCAGCAGGGCGGCCCCGUAGAAACCUGUUCUGCAGCAGAGCUGACUUUCUCUGGAAACCCAGUUCCUGGUCAGCACCUUCAUCCGCUGUAAGAAUGACCAUUGUCACACUAGGGCCUAUGAUGUGCUUCUGAUCCCCCACCUACGCACACAAAGUCUCUCAGCUGCAGUCCUGAUCAAAAGUAGUUGCUCUGCCCUUGGAGCUGAACCCUAGAUGCUGAGGGCAGCAAUGAAGUGGAAUUCUGAGUCCGGGAGCACUUCAGACCCAGAGCUCCCCCAGUAACAAAGCUAAGAGGAGAUCCCACCCAAGGCUGAGCCACACAGCGUACCUCCCACCCACCUGAGUCAGCAGACCUAUUAGCCGAAGCGUGACUAGUUAUUUUGUGGUCUUAAAAUGCUUCUUCCCAGUUAAGAUAAUAGAAUUUUAUAAUAAUAACAAUAACAGCAACAAUAACAACUUCUGGAGCACCCCUGGAAUACCAUCGGCCUUGACAAAAUCGCCAUCAGUCAAGUGCAAAAGACAGCUUUCCUUGGAACAGCUUCCCUCCUGCAACGAUCCCUUUAACCCCAUCACACAACAACAUCUGCCCAUCCCAGGUCCUUGGGAAGGACUCGAGAGGGGGACAGAAAUGCCAAAUCCAGUCUAAACAUCUGGCUGACUGUGCGACCAACCCUAAUAAAAACGGCGAACACAUUUGUUGCCUUUUCAA
Molecule: non-coding RNA, 2829 nt
Organism: Python bivittatus (Burmese python)
Lineage: Eukaryota; Metazoa; Chordata; Lepidosauria; Squamata; Pythonidae
Source: RefSeq, a predicted model, not a curated record